UNUGGCUCAGGAUGAACGCUGGCGGCGUGCCUAAUACAUGCAAGUCGAACGCACAGCGAAAGGUGCUUGCACCUUUCAAGUGAGUGGCGAACGGGUGAGUAACACGUGGACAACCUGCCUCAAGGCUGGGGAUAACAUUUGGAAACAGAUGCUAAUACCGAAUAAAACUUAGUGUCGCAUGACAAAAAGUUAAAAGGCGCUUCGGCGUCACCUAGAGAUGGAUCCGCGGUGCAUUAGUUAGUUGGUGGGGUAAAGGCCUACCAAGACAAUGAUGCAUAGCCGAGUUGAGAGACUGAUCGGCCACAUUGGGACUGAGACACGGCCCAAACUCCUACGGGAGGCUGCAGUAGGGAAUCUUCCACAAUGGGCGAAAGCCUGAUGGAGCAACGCCGCGUGUGUGAUGAAGGCUUUCGGGUCGUAAAGCACUGUUGUAUGGGAAGAACAGCUAGAAUAGGAAAUGAUUUUAGUUUGACGGUACCAUACCAGAAAGGGACGGCUAAAUACGUGCCAGCAGCCGCGGUAAUACGUAUGUCCCGAGCGUUAUCCGGAUUUAUUGGGCGUAAAGCGAGCGCAGACGGUUUAUUAAGUCUGAUGUGAAAGCCCGGAGCUCAACUCCGGAAUGGCAUUGGAAACUGGUUAACUUGAGUGCAGUAGAGGUAAGUGGAACUCCAUGUGUAGCGGUGGAAUGCGUAGAUAUAUGGAAGAACACCAGUGGCGAAGGCGGCUUACUGGACUGCAACUGACGUGAG
This 749-nucleotide ribosomal RNA is filed under the name Leuconostoc mesenteroides. RNAcentral's name for it is "bacterial SSU rRNA". It matches the Rfam family "Bacterial small subunit ribosomal RNA", at positions 18 to 750 of the family's 1533-position model. The record is from RNAcentral. Lineage: Bacteria; Bacillati; Bacillota; Bacilli; Lactobacillales; Lactobacillaceae.